GCACGUAGAACCUCCUACCCUUCUUGCUAACUGUUACUACUCAUACAUUCAAGGACGACUGGAAGACUUUCUUGUCUAGACAGCACUGCGUUCGAUCAGCUGUCUCCAGCUUACCGGCACAGUAUGGGGGUUCAAGGACUGGUGGACGUUCCCUGGAGAGUCUUUAC
This is a long non-coding RNA of Tachysurus vachellii, 167 nucleotides long. RefSeq lists it as uncharacterized. The transcript has 2 exons. Lineage: Eukaryota; Metazoa; Chordata; Actinopteri; Siluriformes; Bagridae. The record is from RefSeq and is a predicted model, not a curated record.